RNAcentral lists this ribosomal RNA (458 nucleotides) under uncultured beta proteobacterium. RNAcentral describes it as "bacterial SSU rRNA". It matches the Rfam family "Bacterial small subunit ribosomal RNA", at positions 28 to 476 of the family's 1533-position model. The record is from RNAcentral. Lineage: Bacteria; Pseudomonadati; Pseudomonadota; Betaproteobacteria.
AUUGAACGCUGGCGGCAUGCUUUACACAUGCAAGUCGAGCGGCAGCGCGGGGGCAACUCUGGCGGCGAGCGGCGGACGGGUGAGUAAUGCAUCGGAACGUAUCCCGUAGUGGGGGACAACCCAGCGAAAGCUGGGCUAAUACCGCAUAUGCUCUACGGAGGAAAGUGGGGGACCCAGCAGGCAACUGAGGGGCCUCACGCUAUGGGAGCGGCCGAUGUCCGAUUAGCUAGUUGGUGGGGUAAAGGCUUACCAAGGCGACGAUCGGUAGCUGGUCUGAGAGGAUGAUCAGCCACACUGGGACUGAGACACGGCCCAGACUCCUACGGGAGGCAGCAGUGGGGAAUUUUGGACAAUGGGGGCAACCCUGAUCCAGCCAUGCCGCGUGCGGGAAGAAGGCCUUCGGGUUGUAAACCGCUUUUGGUCGGGAAGAAAGGGUUCGGGCUAAUACCCUGGACUGU